CACGUAGGGCGCAAGCGUUGUCCGGAAUUAUUGGGCGUAAAGAGCUCGUAGGCGGUCUGUUGCGUCCGCUGUGAAAACUCGGGGCUUAACCCCGAGCCUGCAGUGGAUACGGGCAGACUAGAGGUAGGUAGGGGAGAAUGGAAUUCCCGGUGUAGCGGUGAAAUGCGCAGAUAUCGGGAGGAACACCGGUGGCGAAGGCGGUUCCCUGGGCCUUACUGACACUGAGAAGCGAAAGCAUGGGGAGCGAACAGG
RNAcentral lists this ribosomal RNA (252 nucleotides) under uncultured bacterium. Its description in RNAcentral is "partial 16S ribosomal RNA". It matches the Rfam family "Bacterial small subunit ribosomal RNA", at positions 524 to 776 of the family's 1533-position model. The record is from RNAcentral.